This 446-nucleotide ribosomal RNA is filed under the name uncultured archaeon. RNAcentral describes it as "bacterial SSU rRNA". It matches the Rfam family "Archaeal small subunit ribosomal RNA", at positions 918 to 1364 of the family's 1478-position model. The record is from RNAcentral.
CCNGAAAACUCACCAUAGCCGACGGACAAAUGAAGGUCAGUGUAAUGAACUUACCGGAUUGUUCGAGAGGUAGUGCAUGGCCGCCGUCAGUUCGUACCGUAAGGCGUUCUGUUAAGUCAGAUAACGAACGAGACCCUCAUCUCUAUUUGCCACCAGAUCUCCGGAUCUGACGGGACUAUAGAGAGACCGCUGGCGCUAAGUCAGAGGAAGGGGAGGGCAACGGUAGGUCAGUAUGCUCCGAAUGCUAUGGGCUACACGCGCAAUACAAAGGACGGGACAAUGGGCUGCUACUCCGAAAGGAAUGACGCUAUCCCGAAACCCGUUCGUAGUUCGGAUUGAGGGCUGUAACUCGCCCUCAUGAAGCUGGAUUAGGUAGUAAUCGCGUCUCAAUAAGGCGCGGUGAAUAUGCCCCUGCUCCUUGCACACACCGCCCGUCAAACCAUCUU